This 1373-nucleotide long non-coding RNA is filed under the name Homo sapiens (human). RNAcentral describes it as "HSALNT0299533". The record is from RNAcentral. Lineage: Eukaryota; Metazoa; Chordata; Mammalia; Primates; Hominidae.
UUCAUAAACAUUCUUCCACGACGUGCUGUGCUGGAAUCCCUGAGCCUGCUCUGGCCUGGGAGGCUGCCUGAUUUAACAGAGUUUCAAGUUGCUCAGGCUGGUCUCAAACUCCUGGGCUCAAGUGAUCCACCCACCUUGGCCUCCCAAAGUGCUGGGAUUACAGGCACGACCCACUGCAACUGGCCCCACAUCCUUCAGUUUUUAAGAGUGCAGGCCUUUUGUUAUGUAGGAUGGCCCUAGACCUGGUUCCAUCUAAUAUUUCAUUUUGGUCAGACCUCGCCAUGAUUUCUUGACAGGAAAAUGAUGGACAGGAUCCUGGGCUCUGCACAUUACAGCAUAUGAUGUGGUCUUGUCUCAUCACUGGUGAUGUUAAUCUUGAUUGCUUGGUCAUGUUGGUGUCUUCCAUAUUUCUCCUCCAUUGAGUCACCAUUUUCACCUUUGCAAUUGAUAAGCAUUUUGUGGGGAGAUUUUCUAAAAUUAUGCUAAAAUCCUGAUCCUUAACAACUUCUACCCAUCAGCCUUAAUAUUUGUGGAUGAUCCCUAUCUGAAUAAAUUAUAACCAUAAUAGUGUCAUAUGGUGGUUUGCUAUUUUCAUCAUUCCUUCUACAUUAAUUACUUGGUAUUCUACUGUAAGAAAGAAGUUCCACUGCUUCCUCUAUUUAUUUACUUAUUUAUUCAUUUAUUUAGUAGUAUGAAUUUCAAUUUAACAGGUUAAAAACCAUGCUUGUUCUUUGUGAAAGUAUAUAACGUUAUUAUCUUUAUCAGAGAAGAAAUGGUUCUGAACUUCUCAAGAAAGUAUACAAGCAGUAUAAAAAUGAGAUAAUUACACUUACUUAACAUACCUUAUUUUCAUCCAAAUAAACACGAAAAGAAUCCAACAUGAUAUUUGAAAUUCUACCAUAGGGUAUUUUACUAGAAAAAUAGAAUCUUGUGUUUUUGGUAAUGUUUGUUCAUAUCACAAAAUUACUGAGAAGCGAAACAUUUCUAAAUUCACAUUAGAACAUUGUAAUUCACAUUUGUGUUAGAAUGAUGGUUACCAGAGUCUGGGAAGGGUAGUGGAGUAGUAGAAUGGGGGAUGGUUAUUGGAUAUGAAAAUAUAGUUAGUUAGAAUGAAUAAGAUCUAGUAUUUGAUAGCACAACAGGGUAACUACAGUCAACAAUAAUUUAUUGUACAUUUAAAAAUAACUAUAAGACUAUAAUUAGAUUGUAACACAAAGAAAGGAUAAAUGUUUGAAGUGAUAGAUACCCCAUUUAUCCUGAUGUGAUUAUUACACAUUGUAUGCUUGUAUCAAAAUAUCUCAUGUACGCCAUACAUAUAUAUGCCUACUGUGUACUCACAAAAAUUAAAAAUUGUAAAAAUAAAUAAACAAAAC